UACUGGGCGUAAAGCGCGCGUAGGCGGCUUGAUAAGCCGGUUGUGAAAGCCCCGGGCUCAACCUGGGAACGGCAUCCGGAACUGUCAGGCUAGAGUGCAGGAGAGGAAGGUAGAAUUCCCGGUGUAGCGGUGAAAUGCGUAGAGAUCGGGAGGAAUACCAGUGGCGAAGGCGGCCUUCUGGACUGACACUGACGCUGAGGUGCGAAAGCGUGGGUAGCAAACAGGAUUAGAUACCCUGGUAGUCCACGCCGUAAACGAUGUCGACUAGCCGUUGGGCUCCUUGAGAGCUUUGUGGCGCAGUUAACGCGAUAAGUCGACCGCCUGGGGAGUACGGCCGCAAGGUUAAAACUCAAAUGAAUUGACGGGGGCCCGCACAAGCGGUGGAGCAUGUGGUUUAAUUCGAUGCAACGCGAAGAACCUUACCUACCCUUGACAUCGAGAGAACUUUCCAGAGAUGGAUUGGUGCCUUCGGGAACUCUCAGACAGGUGCUGCAUGGCUGUCGUCAGCUCGUGUUGUGAAAUGUUGGGUUAAGUCCCGUAACGAGCGCAACCCUUGUCCCUAUUUGCCAGCGAUUCGGUCGGGAACUCUAGGGAGACUGCCGGUGACAAACCGGAGGAAGGUGGGGACGACGUCAAGUCAUCAUGGCCCUUACGGGUAGGGCUACACACGUGCUACAAUGGCCGGUACAAUGGGUUGCGAAUCCGCGAGGUGGAGCUAAUCCCAUAAAGCCGGUCUCAGUCCGGAUCGGAGUCUGCAACU
Molecule: ribosomal RNA, 760 nt
Filed under: Halomonas sp. JSM 111047
Lineage: Bacteria; Pseudomonadati; Pseudomonadota; Gammaproteobacteria; Oceanospirillales; Halomonadaceae
Description: bacterial SSU rRNA
Rfam family: Bacterial small subunit ribosomal RNA
Source: RNAcentral